ACGGAAGGCAGCAGUGGGGAAUAUUGGGUAAUGGGCGAAAGCCUGACCCAGCAACGCCGCGUGAGGGAAGAAGGCCUUCGGGUUGUAAACUUCUUUUAUCAGGGACGAAGAACGUGACGGUACCUGAUGAAUAAGCCACGGCUAACUACGUGCCAGCAGCCGCGGUAAUACGUAGGUGGCGAGCGUUAUCCGGAUUUACUGGGUGUAAAGGGCGCGUAGGCGGGGAUGCAAGUCAGAUGUGAAAUCUAUGGGCUUAACCCAUAAACUGCAUUUGAAACUGUAUCUCUUGAGUGUCGGAGAGGUAGACGGAAUUCCUAGUGUAGCGGUGAAAUGCGUAGAUAUUAGGAGGAACACCAGUGGCGAAGGCGAUCCACUGGGCGAUAACUGACGCUGAGGCGCGAAAGCGUGGGGAGCAAACAGGAUUAGAUACCCUGGUA
RNAcentral lists this ribosomal RNA (437 nucleotides) under uncultured Oscillospiraceae bacterium. Its description in RNAcentral is "partial 16S ribosomal RNA". It matches the Rfam family "Bacterial small subunit ribosomal RNA", at positions 341 to 792 of the family's 1533-position model. The record is from RNAcentral. Lineage: Bacteria; Bacillati; Bacillota; Clostridia; Eubacteriales; Oscillospiraceae.